CCGAGUUUACAACUCCCAAACCCCUGUGAACAUACCAAUUGUUGCCUCGGCGGAUCAGCCCACUCCCGGUAAAACGGGACGGCCCGCCAGAGGACCCCUAAACUCUGUUUCUAUAUGUAACUUCUGAGUAAAACCAUAAAUAAAUCA
Molecule: unclassified non-coding RNA, 147 nt
Filed under: soil metagenome
Description: partial internal transcribed spacer 1
Source: RNAcentral